This 723-nucleotide ribosomal RNA is filed under the name Klebsiella sp. RNAcentral describes it as "bacterial SSU rRNA". It matches the Rfam family "Bacterial small subunit ribosomal RNA", at positions 476 to 1202 of the family's 1533-position model. Lineage: Bacteria; Pseudomonadati; Pseudomonadota; Gammaproteobacteria; Enterobacterales; Enterobacteriaceae. The record is from RNAcentral.
UACGUGCAGAAGAAGCAACGGGCUUACUCGUGCCUGCAGGCCGCGCUAAUAGAGAGGGUGCGAGCGUUAAUGGAAUUACUGGGCGUAAAGCACAGCGCGGGCGGUCUGUCAAGUCAGAUGUGAAAUCCCCUGGCUCAACCUUGGGAACUGCCUUCAAACUGGCUGGCAGAGUCUGUAGAGGGGGGUAGAUUCCAGGUGAGCGGUGAAAUGAGUAGAGAUCUGGAGGAAUACCGGUGGAGAAGGAGGCCCCCUGGACAAAGAAAGACGCUCAGGUGCGAAAAGCGUGGGGAGCAAACAGGAUUAGAUACCCUGGUAGUGCACGCCGUAAACGAUGUGGAUUUGGAGGUUGUGCCCGUGAGGCGUGGCUUCGGGAGCUAACGCGUUAAAUCGACCGCUGGGGAGUACGGCCGCAAGGUUAAAACUCAAAUGAAUUGACGGGGGCCCGCCCGAGCGGUGGAGCAUGUGGUUUAAUUAGUUGCAACGAGAAGAACCUUACCUGGUUUUCACAUCCACAGAACUUAGCAGAGAUGGUUUGGUGCCUUCGGGAACUAGGAGACAGAUGCAGCAUGGCCGUGGUCAGCUUCUGUUGUGAAAGGUUGGGUUAAGUCUCGCAACGAGCGCAACCGUUAUCCUUUGUUGCAAGCGGUUCGGCCGGGCACUCUAAGGAGACUGCCAGUGAUAAACCGGAGGAAGGUGGGGAUGACGUCAAGUCUUCAUGGCCCU